This 180-nucleotide ribosomal RNA is filed under the name uncultured Methanolinea sp. RNAcentral describes it as "partial 16S ribosomal RNA". It matches the Rfam family "Archaeal small subunit ribosomal RNA", at positions 1159 to 1338 of the family's 1478-position model. The record is from RNAcentral. Lineage: Archaea; Methanobacteriati; Methanobacteriota; Methanomicrobia; Methanomicrobiales; Methanoregulaceae.
UAAUUAUCGGGCUACACGCGGGCUACAAUGGUCAGGACAAUGGGUAUCAACACCGAAAGGUGAAGGCAAUCUCCUAAACCUGUCCUUAGUUCGGAUUGUGGGCUGCAACUCGCCCACAUGAAGCUGGAAUCUGUAGUAAUCGCGUCUCAACAUGGCGCGGUGAAUAUGUCCCUGCUCCUU